Molecule: ribosomal RNA, 207 nt
Filed under: uncultured bacterium
Lineage: Bacteria
Description: partial 16S ribosomal RNA
Rfam family: Bacterial small subunit ribosomal RNA
Source: RNAcentral
CGUGUAGGCGGCCAGAUAGGUCUGCUGUGAAAACUCGAGGCUCAACCUCGAGCUGUCGGCGGAAACCAUUCGGCUAGAGUCCGGAAGAGGAGAGUGGAAUUCCUGGUGUAGCGGUGAAAUGCGCAGAUAUCAGGAAGAACACCUAUGGCGAAGGCAGCUCUCUGGGACGGUACUGACGCUGAGACGCGAAAGCGUGGGGAGCGAACA